GAUGAACGCUGGCGGCGUGCCUAAUACAUGCAAGUCGAGCGAACAGACGAGGAGCUUGUUCCUAUGAUGUUAGCGGCGGACGGGUGAGUAACACGUGGAUAACCUACCUAUAAGACUGGGAUAACUUCGGGAAACCGGAGCUAAUACCGGAUAACAUGUUGAACCGCAUGGUUCAAGAGUGAAAGACGCUCUUGCUGCACCUUAUAGAUGGCUCCGCGCCGCUUUAGUUAGUUGGUAAGGUAACGCCUUACCAAGGCAACGAUGCGUAGCCGACCUGAGAGGGGGAUCGGCCACACGGGAACGGGGACACGGUCCAGACUCCAACGGGAGGCAGCAGUAGGGAAUCUUCCGCAAUGGGCGAAGGCCUGACGGAGCAACGCCGCGUGAGGGAAGAGGGUCUUCGGAUCGUAAAACUCUUUUGUUGGGGAAGAACAAAUGUGGAAUUAACUAUGCACGUCUUGACGGUACCUAAUCAGAAAGCCACGGCUAACUACGUG
RNAcentral lists this ribosomal RNA (497 nucleotides) under uncultured bacterium. Its description in RNAcentral is "partial 16S ribosomal RNA". It matches the Rfam family "Bacterial small subunit ribosomal RNA", at positions 28 to 507 of the family's 1533-position model. The record is from RNAcentral.